UUCGGGACGCCGGCGAGUGGCGAACGGGUGAGUAACACGUGGGGACCUGCCCUGAGGUGGGGGAUAACAGCUAGAAAUGGCUGCUAAUACCGCAUACGCCUUACGAGGGAAAGAUUUAUUGCCUCAGGAGGGUUCCGCGUCGGAUUAGCUUGUUGGUGGGGUAACGGCCUACCAAGGCGAUGAUCCGUAGCUGGUCUUAGAGGAUGAUCAGCCACACUGGGACUGAGACACGGCCCAGACUCCUACGGGAGGCAGCAGUGGGGAAUAUUGCGCAAUGGAGGCAACUCUGACGCAGCGAUGCCGCGUGGGUGAAUAAGGCCUUAGGGUUGUAAAGCCCUUUCAGUGGGAAAGAUGAUGACGGUACCCACAGAAGAAGCCCCGGCUAACUCCGUGCCAGCAGCCGCGGUAAUACGGAGGGGGCGAGCGUUGUUCGGAAUUAUUGGGCGUAAAGAGCGCGUAGGCGGUUUAUUAAG
Molecule: ribosomal RNA, 473 nt
Filed under: uncultured Magnetococcus sp.
Lineage: Bacteria; Pseudomonadati; Pseudomonadota; Magnetococcia; Magnetococcales; Magnetococcaceae
Description: bacterial SSU rRNA
Rfam family: Bacterial small subunit ribosomal RNA
Source: RNAcentral